AUUGAACGCUGGCGGCAUGCCUUACACAUGCAAGUCGAACGGUAACAGGUCUUCGGAUGCUGACGAGUGGCGAACGGGUGAGUAAUACAUCGGAACGUGCCCGAUCGUGGGGGAUAACGGAGCGAAAGCUUUGCUAAUACCGCAUACGAUCUACGGAUGAAAGCAGGGGACCGCAAGGCCUUGCGCGGACGGAGCGGCCGAUGGCAGAUUAGGUAGUUGGUGGGAUAAAAGCUUACCAAGCCGACGAUCUGUAGCUGGUCUGAGAGGACGACCAGCCACACUGGGACUGAGACACGGCCCAGACUCCUACGGGAGGCAGCAGUGGGGAAUUUUGGACAAUGGGCGCAAGCCUGAUCCAGCCAUGCCGCGUGCAGGAUGAAGGCCUUCGGGUUGUAAACUGCUUUUGUACGGUAACGAAAGACUCUUUCUAAUAAAGAGGUCCAUGACGGUACCGUAAGAAUAAGCACCGGCUAACUACGUGCCAGCAGCCGCGGUAAC
RNAcentral lists this ribosomal RNA (498 nucleotides) under uncultured bacterium. Its description in RNAcentral is "bacterial SSU rRNA". It matches the Rfam family "Bacterial small subunit ribosomal RNA", at positions 30 to 524 of the family's 1533-position model. The record is from RNAcentral.